AUGAUGAUGUUCAUGGCGGAUAAUUGGACGGAAAACCCAGGUGGCACCACAACAACCCAUACCGGUGAAUCUGAAGCGUUCUUUAAGACUGCGUCUUCUGGUGGUUCCUGAAUCUAAAGCGUCCAUUUGUUCGGUUAAUAAACCGAGAAUGGUUCUUGAUUCUCUCUGAGAACGAAGUGAUUCCUGCAAUAUGAGACCGAGUU
This 203-nucleotide long non-coding RNA is filed under the name Medicago truncatula (barrel medic). RNAcentral's name for it is "lncRNA gene27910". The record is from RNAcentral. Lineage: Eukaryota; Viridiplantae; Streptophyta; Magnoliopsida; Fabales; Fabaceae.